Molecule: long non-coding RNA, 367 nt
Organism: Suricata suricatta (meerkat)
Lineage: Eukaryota; Metazoa; Chordata; Mammalia; Carnivora; Herpestidae
Exons: 2
Source: RefSeq, a predicted model, not a curated record
CAAGCCACUUCCCCAUGGCCACCUGGCUGGAAAAUGGCCGAGCCGGGAGUCAGACCUGGGCUGCCUGCUCCCUGAAGCUAUGCACCUGCUCAAACGGCUCACAGGAGCCGGUUAUGAGAGAGGCAAGGAUAGGUGUAGGUCAGGAUGGUCUCCCUUGAAGCCCAGCCACCAUGCUGUAAAGAAGUGCAGACUAGACCACUGAAUAAUAUGAAGCCACGGGAGAGAGGCUCAGGAGCAUAAGAGGCCAUCUUGGAGAUCCCAGCCCCAAUCAAGCUUCUCGGUGAAUGAGUGAGUCCAACCAAUUUCCCAGCUGAGCCCGGUCAGCCCACAGAUUUCAUGAGGAAGAAUAAAUUGUUGUUUUAAGUCA